This 1013-nucleotide long non-coding RNA is filed under the name Melopsittacus undulatus (budgerigar). Its description in RNAcentral is "lncRNA (ENSMUNG00000019331.1)". The record is from RNAcentral. Lineage: Eukaryota; Metazoa; Chordata; Aves; Psittaciformes; Psittaculidae.
CGCCGCCGGCAGCGCCGCCUCCCCGCGGGCCCCUCUCACAACCCCCGGCACACGGGGCGCUGCCGCGCACUGACAGGCUCUCGCAGGUGCCGCGCUCUCCCCGGGACGCGGAGGGGCGGCCCCCCUGCCCUCCCGGCUCCACACUGGCGGAGGGAGGCAGCGAGGGAAGGAGGUUGGGAAGGAGGAGCGGUGGGGAGCAGUCAGCAGCGCCGAUCAAAUUCAAUGCCUUGGAAGAAACUGAAAAGCAACAUGAACCUCCAAGCUGGGUCAGGUUGGAAAACAGCAUGAUAAAGAGGCUAGCAGAAAGCCUGAGAUGGGUUCAAUGCAAAAACAGUUUGUUUAUAUAAGCAGUUUAUUUUGAAAGUCCAUUGUGUAGGUACAUCAACUAAUUAAUAACUUCUAAAGCAACCUUACUUUGCUUCCAGUAGUGACAAAGCUGUGUUAUAUUAAUAAAAAUUGCUUCUCAUUGACAUUUGCUUGAAUUCACACUCUUGAAAUGUUAAUAAACUGAAGGUAUCUGUUUCACCUAUUUACCUAUGCUGCUACAAAGUGUAGCAUGCUACAUGGGACAGAACCAUCUGGAUUUGUUGGCAAGUGGGUAUGUGAACAUAACAGAAAAUGACAGAAAAUCUAAAAUAACAAAACUCUGAAGUUACACACAAUACAUUGGUUAAAGAUUAUUUUACUUUAUAGACCUUUUUCUUUUUUGCAUUUAUUGGUGUUAACAAGUGCUGAAGGAUGUUCUCUAAUUCGUAACAUGUAGGAAAUUCUCAACAAGCAACAAGAAUAGUCUGAGGCCAAGUUUCAGAAAAACAUAGGAGGUAUAUUAAUUCAAGUGAUUUUUAUUCCUGCUAAAAUCAGUGAGAGGAGGGACACCUUGGGUGGCUGUCUUUUGGAACAUGUUACUGAUGACCAGGAUUGGAAGAAGCUGUUUAAUAUGUCAGGUAUAAAUAACUCAGAUGCAAGCCUAGCUGGGAAGGUGUUGGACCUGGUACAGUGAGGCCAAAUAGUUU